This 440-nucleotide ribosomal RNA is filed under the name uncultured bacterium. RNAcentral's name for it is "partial 16S ribosomal RNA". It matches the Rfam family "Bacterial small subunit ribosomal RNA", at positions 338 to 795 of the family's 1533-position model. The record is from RNAcentral.
CCUACGGGAGGCUGCAGUAGGGAAUAUUGCUCAAUGGGGGAAACCCUGAAGCAGCAACGCCGCGGGGAGGCUGAAGGUUUUAGGAUUGUAAACUCCUUUUGUGAGAGAAGAUAAUGAUGGUAUCUCACGAAUAAGCACCGGCUAACUCCGUGCCAGCAGCCGCGGUAAUACGGAGGGUGCAAGCGUUACUCGGAAUCACUGGGCGGAAAGAGUGCGCAGGCUGGCUUGUAAGUCAGAUGUGAAAUCCUGUAGCUUAACUACAGAACUGCAUUUGAAACUGUUAUUCUAGAGUAUGGGAGAGGGAGGUGGAAUUCUUGGUGUAGGGGUAAAAUCCGUAGAGAUCAAGAGGAAUACUCAUUGCGAAGGCGACCUGCUAGAACAUAACUGACGCUGAUGCGCAAAAGCGUGGGGAGCAAACAGGAGUAGAUACCCCGGUAGUC